RNAcentral lists this ribosomal RNA (450 nucleotides) under uncultured bacterium. RNAcentral's name for it is "partial 16S ribosomal RNA". It matches the Rfam family "Bacterial small subunit ribosomal RNA", at positions 354 to 796 of the family's 1533-position model. The record is from RNAcentral.
GUGGGGAAUUUUGGACAAUGGGCGAAAGCCUGAUCCAGCCAUGCCGCGUGCAGGAUGAAGGCCUUCGGGUUGUAAACUGCUUUUGUACGGAACGAAAAGACUCUGGUUAAUACCUGGGGUCCAUGACGGUACCGUAAGAAUAAGCACCGGCUAACUACGUGCCAGCAGCCGCGGUAAUACGUAGGGUGCAAGCGUUAAUCGGAAUUACUGGGCGUAAAGCGUGCGCAGGCGGUUAUAUAAGACAGAUGUGAAAUCCCCGGGCUCAACCUGGGAACUGCAUUUGUGACUGUAUAGCUAGAGUACGGCAGAGGGGGAUGGAAUUCCGCGUGUAGCAGUGAAAUGCGUAGAGAUGUGGAGGAAUACCGAUGGCGAAGGCAGCCCCCUGGGAUAAUACUGACGCUCAUGCACGAAAGCGUGGGGAGCAAACAGGAUUAGAUACCCCUGUAGUCC